Molecule: non-coding RNA, 870 nt
Filed under: Labropsis polynesica
Lineage: Eukaryota; Metazoa; Chordata; Actinopteri; Labriformes; Labridae
Description: partial 12S ribosomal RNA
Rfam family: Bacterial small subunit ribosomal RNA
Source: RNAcentral
GCUAUCAACUCUAACCAAAUUUACACAUGCAAGUAUCCGCACUCCCGUGAGAAUGCCCUAACAGUUUCCUGACUGGAGACAAGGAGCUGGUAUCAGGCACAAAUUGGCCCACGACGCCUUGCUAAGCCACACCCCCAAGGGAAUUCAGCAGUGAUAAAUAUUAAGCUAUAAGUGAAAACUUGACUUAGUUAAUGUUAAGAGGGCCGGUAAAUCUCGUGCCAGCCACCGCGGUUAUACGAGGGACCCAAGUUGAUAGCCUUCGGCGUAAAGAGUGGUUAAGAGCGCCUAAACUAAAGCCAAACAACUUCAAAGCUGUUAUACGCGCAUGAAAACAUGAAACCCAAUUACGAAAGUGGCUUUAACCCCUGAUUCCACGAAAGCUGGGAUACAAACUGGGAUUAGAUACCCCACUAUGCCCUGCCCUAAACAUUGAUAACAAUUUACUUACUUAUCCGCCCGGGUACUACGAGCAUCAGCUUAAAACCCAAAGGACUUGGCGGUGCUUUAGAUCCACCUAGAGGAGCCUGUUCUAGAACCGAUAAUCCCCGUUAAACCUCACCUUUCCUUGUUUCAUCUGCCUAUAUACCGCCGUCGUCAGCUUACUCUAUGAGGAGCUUGUAGUAAGCACAACUGGCACAGCCUAAAACGCCAGGUCGAGGUGUAGCGAAUGGGAAGGGAAGAAAUGGGCUACAUUCAAUAACUAAUGAAUACGAAUAACAUUCUGAAAAAAUGUAUGAAGGAGGAUUUAGUAGUAAGCAGAGAAUAGAGUGCUCUGCUGAAACUGGCCCUGAAGCGCGUACACACCGCCCGUCACUCUCCCCGAGCUAAAUUUAACACAUUGCUAAUAAACAAACACUGUAAAGGGGAGGC